Molecule: ribosomal RNA, 422 nt
Filed under: Rhizopus arrhizus
Lineage: Eukaryota; Fungi; Mucoromycota; Mucoromycetes; Mucorales; Rhizopodaceae
Description: eukaryotic LSU rRNA
Rfam family: Eukaryotic large subunit ribosomal RNA
Source: RNAcentral
UUUGCCUUUUGUGAUACGCUUUCAAAGAGUCAGGUUGUUUGGGAAUGCAGCCUAAAUUGGGUGGUAAAUCUCACCUAAAGCUAAAUAUUGGCGAGAAACCGAUAGCGAACAAGUACCGUGAGGGAAAGAUGAAAAGAACUUUGAAAAGAGAGUUAAACAGUAUGUGAAAUUGUUAAAAGGGAACCGUUUGGAGCCAGACUGGCUUGUCUGUAAUCAAUCUAGGCUUCGGCCUGGAUGCACUUGCAGGCUAUGCCUGCCAACGACAAUUUGACUUGAGGGAAAAAACUAAGGGAAAUGUGGCCCACUUGUGGGUGUUAUAGUCCCUUAGAAAAUACCUUGGGUUGGAUUGAGGAACGCAGCGAAUGCUUUUUGGCGAGUUUUCCAGGAAGGUUUUCUGAGGUACUACGGUAUCAAGGUUGAUC